Molecule: small RNA, 293 nt
Filed under: Notechis scutatus (mainland tiger snake)
Lineage: Eukaryota; Metazoa; Chordata; Lepidosauria; Squamata; Elapidae
Description: 7SK RNA (ENSNSUG00000006483.1)
Rfam family: 7SK RNA (bases 1-197)
About the family: 7SK was discovered as an abundant small nuclear RNA in the mid-70s but a possible function has only recently been suggested. Two independent studies have found that 7SK RNA binds the CDK9/cyclin T complex (known as elongation factor P-TEFb).
Source: RNAcentral
GAACUGGUCAGAACCGUCUGAAUCCCACCUCUGCUGUCACCCCAUUGAUCGCCAGAGUUGAUUCAGCUGAUCUGGCUGGCUAGGCAGGUGUUUCCUUCCUCACUCACUGCUCCCUGUACAUCCCUCUCGGAGUUGUGUGCUCAGUGGAAGAGGGCAACCUUCCCAAAUAGAAGUAGUUGACCCCUUCUACUUUGUAGCAGCCCCACAGAUAUUGGAAGACUGCUAUCCUGUCACCCCUAAGUUGGGUAUUUUGCAUUUCUAGAGCUGGCGAAAAAAACCAAUGGUUUUACUUU